RNAcentral lists this unclassified non-coding RNA (353 nucleotides) under soil metagenome. Its description in RNAcentral is "partial contains 5.8S ribosomal RNA, internal transcribed spacer 2, and large subunit ribosomal RNA". The stretch from base 1 to 120 matches the Rfam family "5.8S ribosomal RNA", at positions 35 to 154 of the family's 154-position model. The record is from RNAcentral.
GAUGAAGAACGCAGCGAAAUGCGAUAAGUAAUGUGAAUUGCAGAAUUCCGUGAAUCAUCGAAUCUUUGAACGCACAUUGCGCCCCCUGGCAUUCCGGGGGGCAUGCCUGUCCGAGCGUCAUUUCUGCCCUCCAGCCCGGCUGGGUGUUGGGCGCUGUCCCCCCGGGGACACGCCCCAAAGGCAGUGGCGGCGCCGCGUCGGGUCCUCGAGCGUAUGGGGCUUUGUCACCCGCUCGGGACGGACUCGUCGGCGCUGGUCUUCCUCCAGGCGACCCUUCGGGGCUCGUCUUCCUUCGGUUGACCUCGGAUCAGGUAGGGUUACCCGCUGAACUUAAGCAUAUCAAUAGCGGAGGA